GCUGGCGGCGUGCCUAAUACAUGCAAGUCGAGCGAACAGACGAGGAGCUUGCUCCUCUGACGUUAGCGGCGGACGGGUGAGUAACACGUGGAUAACCUACCUAUAAGACUGGGAUAACUUCGGGAAACCGGAGCUAAUACCGGAUAAUAUAUUGAACCGCAUGGUUCAAUAGUGAAAGACGGUUUUGCUGUCACUUAUAGAUGGAUCCGCGCCGCAUUAGCUAGUUGGUAAGGUAACGGCUUACCAAGGCAACGAUGCGUAGCCGACCUGAGAGGGUGAUCGGCCACACUGGAACUGAGACACGGUCCAGACUCCUACGGGAGGCAGCAGUAGGGAAUCUUCCGCAAUGGGCGAAAGCCUGACGGAGCAACGCCGCGUGAGUGAUGAAGGUCUUCGGAUCGUAAAACUCUGUUAUUAGGGAAGAGCAAAUGUGUAAGUAACUAUGCACGUCUUGACGGUACCUAAUCAGAAAGCCACGGCUAACUACGUGCCAGCAGCCGCGGUAAUACGUAGGUGGCAAGCGUUAUCCGGAAUUAUUGGGCGUAAAGCGCGCGUAGGCGGUUUUUUAAGUCUGAUGUGAAAGCCCACGGCUCAACCGUGGAGGGUCAUUGGAAACUGGAAAACUUGAGUGCAGAAGAGGAAAGUGGAAUUCCAUGUGUAGCGGUGAAAUGCGCAGAGAUAUGGAGGAACACCAGUGGCGAAGGCGACUUUCUGGUCUGU
Molecule: ribosomal RNA, 720 nt
Filed under: uncultured Staphylococcus sp.
Lineage: Bacteria; Bacillati; Bacillota; Bacilli; Caryophanales; Staphylococcaceae
Description: bacterial SSU rRNA
Rfam family: Bacterial small subunit ribosomal RNA
Source: RNAcentral